Molecule: long non-coding RNA, 546 nt
Organism: Ictalurus punctatus (channel catfish)
Lineage: Eukaryota; Metazoa; Chordata; Actinopteri; Siluriformes; Ictaluridae
Source: Ensembl
CAUCAGAACGCGCGGUGUUUGCCGGGACGUUUUCUGCUUGAUGUAUAUAGUGUUGUCGUGGUUACAUAAUUAUGAACAAGUUCUCAGAGUUUAAAAAAAGAAAAGAGAACUCAGACACGUGACUAAACUUUAACUCUAAGCCAGCAGCAGCAGGAGUCUGUGGAGAUUUUCUUAAAGAGCGGGGUCUGGACUCUGAUUUCAUUAUAAGAGGAGUAAAGAAUCAGGACACUGGAAGAAAAAUAAAGAGAUUCAUGACUCCAGAAUCUCCACUAACCUGUUAACCGAGCAGCUCAGGAGGUCUGCAUUAGCUGACGUCACCAAACUGUGGACUCGGAGGAGGUCCACAAGGGCGGAGUGUGUCAUUUGGGACAGAGCGGAAGUUGAACAUAGCUGAAAGCUUCACAUUAUAAUCGAUGACAUCAGAUGCAGUUCCAAGGAUGAGGAACAGAUGUCUGAACCAAGAAAAGGCAAAGGAAAAUAAUAUUAUGGCGGACAAGUUAGCAUUCAUUACUUUUAUUGUCUUCCCCCCUCUCAGAUCUCACAAAG